AACGCACAUUGCGCCCGCCAGUAUUCUGGCGGGCAUGCCUGUCCGAGCGUCAUUUCAACCCUCAGGCCCUGGUUGCCUGGUGUUGGGGCGCCGCGCACCCCUAGCGGGCGCGGGCCCCGAAAGUCAGUGGCGGGCUCGCCAGGACUCCGAGCGCAGUAAUUUUGCCUCGCUUUGGAGCGCCUGGUGGGUUACCCAGCCGUAAAACACCCCAAAUUCUAAAGGUUGACCUCGGAUCAGGUAGGAAUACCCGCUGAACUUAA
RNAcentral lists this unclassified non-coding RNA (260 nucleotides) under uncultured Togniniales. Its description in RNAcentral is "sequence contains 5.8S rRNA gene, ITS2, 28S rRNA gene". The stretch from base 1 to 52 matches the Rfam family "5.8S ribosomal RNA", at positions 103 to 154 of the family's 154-position model. Lineage: Eukaryota; Fungi; Ascomycota; Sordariomycetes; Togniniales. The record is from RNAcentral.